Pelobates cultripes (western spadefoot toad) is the source of this 291-nucleotide non-coding RNA. NCBI's taxonomy places the organism in Eukaryota, Metazoa, Chordata, Amphibia, Anura, Pelobatidae. The record is from the annotation of a GenBank genome assembly.
GUGCAGGUUUAGGGUAACUGUAAUGUUUAAAUUGCAGAAUUAAGACUGUCUCUAGAGGCGAUACCUGCACUUUCACUGAGUUUGACUCAGUGAAACCACUCUGGAUGUCCUCACACUCUGCAGCCAGCACCAGGGCAUCCAUCAGCAAUCCUUUCCUACCGGGAAUGCCUAAUACACUCUCCACUUGCGCAUUAUGUCUCCCCAAUCGGACGACAUUCGAGGAGGACUGUGCCGAAGGAUUUCGGCGCUGUAUUAAGUGAAUAAACAUUUAUUUAAUCCUUUCAUCGCUGG